UACGUAGGGUGCGAGCGUUGUCCGGAAUUAUUGGGCGUAAAGAGCUUGUAGGCGGUUUGUCGCGUCUGCUGUGAAAAUCCGGGGCUCAACCCCGGACUUGCAGUGGGUACGGGCAGACUAGAGUGCGGUAGGGGAGAUUGGAAUUCCUGGUGUAGCGGUGAAAUGCGCAGAUAUCAGGAGGAACACCGGUGGCGAAGGCGGUUCUCUGGGCAGUAGCUGACGCUGAUGCGCGACAGCGUGGGGAGCAAACAGG
RNAcentral lists this ribosomal RNA (253 nucleotides) under uncultured bacterium. Its description in RNAcentral is "partial 16S ribosomal RNA". It matches the Rfam family "Bacterial small subunit ribosomal RNA", at positions 524 to 776 of the family's 1533-position model. The record is from RNAcentral.